GGGGGGAGGCCAGACCCUGGGCUGUGUCCCCGCGCCCAGUGCUCCCGGGCCUGCGCUGUUGGAUUUGUGCUCCUAGCUGCACAGCCGCCU
Molecule: microRNA precursor, 90 nt
Filed under: Canis lupus familiaris (dog)
Lineage: Eukaryota; Metazoa; Chordata; Mammalia; Carnivora; Canidae
Also listed under: 1 other name
Description: mir-8799 microRNA precursor family
Rfam family: mir-8799 microRNA precursor family
Source: Rfam by way of RNAcentral